Regulatory RNA element from Nocardioides sp. Root614, 50 nucleotides. It matches the Rfam family "L17-Actino-Proteobacteria ribosomal protein leader". The record is from Rfam. Lineage: Bacteria; Bacillati; Actinomycetota; Actinomycetes; Propionibacteriales; Nocardioidaceae.
CCGUCCCCUCGGGGACAGCAACUAUCCCGGUACCUGACACGGCCGGGGAG